This 1254-nucleotide ribosomal RNA is filed under the name Metaphire californica. RNAcentral describes it as "16S ribosomal RNA". The stretch from base 554 to 1254 matches the Rfam family "Archaeal large subunit ribosomal RNA", at positions 1423 to 2863 of the family's 2987-position model. The record is from RNAcentral. Lineage: Eukaryota; Metazoa; Annelida; Clitellata; Crassiclitellata; Megascolecidae.
GCCCACAUAAAAUAACCUUUAAAAUUGAUAUAUAAUACAACAUUUAAAUAUAAUAAAUACAAAAGUACAGAAAUGGAAACAACAAUAAAUAAUAGUAACUUUUAACAAAUGUACCUCGUGCAUUAUGGUUUUACAAGAAAUUAAUUAAAUAGACAAAUCCCGAAUUCUAAGUGAGAUGUUAAACUGCUGUUGAGAACCUAUUAAUAGCUGUGGAAAAAGCUUUAAAAGACAGUUUAACAGAGGCUACAUACCAUCCGCAUAAGAAUAUAGCUGGUUUUCAACAAACAUUAUACAUUAAAACAUAUAAUUAAAAUUAUAGUGUAAAACUAUUGAGGAUAAGCCCAAUAAUACAAACAAUAUCACCCAAAAUCUAUCCCUUCCCAUAGGCUUAAUAUCAGCCAACCAAACCACUUUACCGUAACAAGAACUGAAAUAAUUUAUAAUAUUUUAUGUUAAAAAAAGUUGAAAGGGUUGGCAACCUAUCUAACCAACCUCUACUAUGUAAAAAUAAGUAUUAAUAAAUAUAAAUAUCAAAUAACCAGAAAUAACAACAGGCUAUAAACAAUAGCUAACUAAGGAACUCGGCAAACCCCUAUUUCGACUGUUUAACAAAAACAUUGUCUCAUGUACCACAUAUGAGAUAAUACCUGCCCAGUGACACUUGUUCAACGGCCGCGGUAUCCUAACCGUGCAAAGGUAGCAUAAUCACUUGCCUAUUAAUUGUAGGCUAGAAUGAAAGGGUUAACGAAAUAAAGACUGUCUCAGUUAGCCAGCUAAAAAUUAAUAUCUAUCUGAAGAAGGGUAGAUACACUCGAAGGACAAGAAGACCCUAUAGAGCUUAAUUUUACUUAUAGAACCUCACUAUAAAAAUAUUCGGUUGGGGCGACCCCGGGUAAAAUAAUCACCCAAAUUAUAAAAGAUACAUUAAUCAAACAACUGACCCUUAAAAGAUCAUAAAAACAAGCUACCUUAGGGAUAACAGGCUAAUCCCACUCAAGAGUCCUUAUCAACAGUGGGGUUUGGCACCUCGAUGUUGGCUUAGGGUAUCUAUAUAGCGCAAAAGUUAUAUGAAGAUGGUUUGUUCAACCAGUAACAUCCUACAUGAGCUGAGUUCAGACCGGCGUAAGCCAGGUUAGCUUCUAUCCUCGACCUCACUACACCCUGUCCCUAGUACGAAAGGACCUGGACAGAAUAAUUAAUUAUAAAAAAGAAUACAUAUAAUAAAUAUUAAAUAACAUACACCUAUAAACUAUA